CAGUCGCCGCGGUAAUACGAAGGGGGCUAGCGUUGCUCGGAAUGACUGGGCGUAAAGGGCGCGUAGGCGGCGGCCAAAGUCAGGCGUGAAAUUCCCGGGCUCAACCUGGGGGCUGCGUUUGAUACUUGGUUGCUUGAGUGGGGAAGAGGGUCGUGGAAUUCCCAGUGUAGAGGUGAAAUUCGUAGAUAUUGGGAGGAACAUCAGUGGCGAAGGCGGCCAUCUGGGACAACACUGACGCUGAAGCACGAAAGCGUGGGGAGCAAACAGGAUUAGAUACCCCAGUAGUCCCUGUCUCUUAUAC
Molecule: ribosomal RNA, 301 nt
Filed under: uncultured bacterium
Lineage: Bacteria
Description: partial 16S ribosomal RNA
Rfam family: Bacterial small subunit ribosomal RNA
Source: RNAcentral